This 419-nucleotide ribosomal RNA is filed under the name uncultured bacterium. RNAcentral's name for it is "bacterial SSU rRNA". It matches the Rfam family "Bacterial small subunit ribosomal RNA", at positions 30 to 446 of the family's 1533-position model. The record is from RNAcentral.
AUUGAACGCUGGCGGCAUGCUUUACACAUGCAAGUCGAACGGCAGCACGGGCUUCGGCCUGGUGGCGAGUGGCGAACGGGUGAGUAAUGCAUCGGAACGUGCCCAUUUGUGGGGGAUAACUACGCGAAAGCGUGGCUAAUACCGCAUACGCCCUGAGGGGGAAAGCGGGGGAUUCUUCGGAACCUCGCGCAAUUGGAGCGGCCGAUGUCAGAUUAGCUUGUUGGUGAGGUAAAGGCUCACCAAGGCGACGAUCUGUAGCGGGUCUGAGAGGAUGAUCCGCCACACUGGGACUGAGACACGGCCCAGACUCCUACGGGAGGCAGCAGUGGGGAAUUUUGGACAAUGGGGGCAACCCUGAUCCAGCCAUGCCGCGUGAGUGAAGAAGGCCUUCGGUUGUAAGACGUCUUUCUAGCCGGGAA